UUAGCCAGUCGGCUAAUUUUCAACUGUAAUCCUAGUUGCAUGCAUUGUCUUUAUGGUGGGAAGAAACCGGAGCACCCGGAGGAAACCCACGCAAGCACGGGGAGAACAUGCAAAGGCCUGGGACGACCUGGGUUCGAACCCAGACCCUUCUUGCUGUGAGGCAGAAGUGCUAACCACAGAGCCACCGAGCUGUCUAAUGUCCA
Molecule: long non-coding RNA, 203 nt
Organism: Sander lucioperca (pikeperch)
Lineage: Eukaryota; Metazoa; Chordata; Actinopteri; Perciformes; Percidae
Exons: 4
Source: RefSeq, a predicted model, not a curated record